This is a long non-coding RNA of Callithrix jacchus (white-tufted-ear marmoset), 644 nucleotides long. The record is from Ensembl. NCBI's taxonomy places the organism in Eukaryota, Metazoa, Chordata, Mammalia, Primates, Cebidae.
CCCCCUGGAGCAGCUCCUUAACUUCUUACUUCCCAGAAGUGUUUGCCUGAGGCAGCCCAAGUGAAAAUGGCCAGGAUAGAGUGCCUGACUCAUCAUCCAGAAUAAGCAAAAGUAAAGAGCCUGGGAAUUUAGAAACAGGUCAGAAGCUAUUUGAAGAAUGACACAGAAUUGAGUUUGAGACCAAAAAAAUGUGUGCUCUAAAUCAUGUUUUUGCAGGACGUAAGUGGAAGUUUCCAGUGUGGAUGUCAUUUGGUUUGGAACACAUUUUCUUAGGAAAAGCAGAAGGUUGUGAUGGAAGAAACUAAGGAUCUUGGAAUUGGAUAGACCUAUUCCCAUCUUCUCUAACUUCAAAGUACUGCAAACAGGUUUUCGCCAUGUGGUCCAGGCUGGUCUCAAACUCCUGAGCUCAAGGAAUCCGCCCACCUCAGCCUCCCAGAGUGCUGGGAUUACAGACAUGAGCCACCACACCCUGCCUCAGGAUACAAUUUUUAAACUACAGAAAGUCAAGGGUUCUGUCAGAAUCUACUCUUAAAAUACAAUCCACGUGUAAAGAAGCUGAUACAACAGCAAUAUCCAAGUAAAGUAACAUGAGACAGCUGUCCUAGACUAGCUGAUGAGAUACUGAUCAAAGGAGGGAAGGAGGG